GGCGAACGGGUGAGUAACACGUGAGCAACCUGCCCCUGACUCUGGGAUAAGCGCUGGAAACGGCGUCUAAUACUGGAUAUGUACCACGAUCGCAUGGUCUGUGGUUGGAAAGAUUUUUCGGUUGGGGAUGGGCUCGCGGCCUAUCAGCUUGUUGGUGAGGUAAUGGCUCACCAAGGCGUCGACGGGUAGCCGGCCUGAGAGGGUGACCGGCCACACUGGGACUGAGACACGGCCCAGACUCCUACGGGAGGCAGCAGUGGGGAAUAUUGCACAAUGGGCGAAAGCCUGAUGCAGCAACGCCGCGUGAGGGAUGACGGCCUUCGGGUUGUAAACCUCUUUUAGCAGGGAAGAAGCGAAAGUGACGGUACCUGCAGAAAAAGCGCCGGCUAACUACGUGCCAGCAGCCGCGGUAAUACGUAGGGCGCAAGCGUUAUCCGGAAUUAUUGGGCGUAAAGAGCUCGUAGGCGGUUUGUCGCGUCUGCUGUGAAAUCCGGAGGCUCAACCUCCGGCCUGCAGUGGGUACGGGCAGACUAGAGUGCGGUAGGGGAGAUUGGAAUUCCUGGUGUAGCGGUGGAAUGCGCAGAUAUCAGGAGGAACACCGAUGGCGAAGGCAGAUCUCUGGGCCGUAACUGACGCUGAGGAGCGAAAGGGUGGGGAGCAAACAGGCUUAGAUACCCUGGUAGUCCACCCCGUAAACGUUGGGAACUAGUUGUGGGGUCCAUUCCACGGAUUCCGUGACGCAGCUAACGCAUUAAGUUCCCCGCCUGGGGAGUACGGCCGCAAGGCUAAAACUCAAAGGAAUUGACGGGGACCCGCACAAGCGGCGGAGCAUGCGGAUUAAUUCGAUGCAACGCGAAGAACCUUACCAAGGCUUGACAUAUACGAGAACGGGCCAGAAAUGGUCAACUCUUUGGACACUCGUAAACAGGUGGUGCAUGGUUGUCGUCAGCUCGUGUCGUGAGAUGUUGGGUUAAGUCCCGCAACGAGCGCAACCCUCGUUCUAUGUUGCCAGCACGUAAUGGUGGGAACUCAUGGGAUACUGCCGGGGUCAACUCGGAGGAAGGUGGGGAUGACGUCAAAUCAUCAUGCCCCUUAUGUCUUGGGCUUCACGCAUGCUACAAUGGCCGGUACAAAGGGCUGCAAUACCGCGAGGUGGAGCGAAUCCCAAAAAGCCGGUCCCAGUUCGGAUUGAGGUCUGCAACUCGACCUCAUGAAGUCGGAGUCGCUAGUAAUCGCAGAUCAGCAACGCUGCGGUGAAUACGUUCCCGGGUCUUGUACACACCGCCCGUCAAGUCAUGAAAGUCGGUAACACC
Molecule: ribosomal RNA, 1313 nt
Filed under: Microbacterium sp.
Lineage: Bacteria; Bacillati; Actinomycetota; Actinomycetes; Micrococcales; Microbacteriaceae
Description: bacterial SSU rRNA
Rfam family: Bacterial small subunit ribosomal RNA
Source: RNAcentral